Molecule: ribosomal RNA, 164 nt
Filed under: Chimarrhis turbinata
Lineage: Eukaryota; Viridiplantae; Streptophyta; Magnoliopsida; Gentianales; Rubiaceae
Also listed under: 5 other names
Description: 5.8S ribosomal RNA
Rfam family: 5.8S ribosomal RNA
About the family: 5.8S ribosomal RNA (5.8S rRNA) is a component of the large subunit of the eukaryotic ribosome. It is transcribed by RNA polymerase I as part of the 45S precursor that also contains 18S and 28S rRNA. Functionally, it is thought that 5.8S rRNA may be involved in ribosome translocation.
Source: RNAcentral
AAAACGACUCUCGGCAACGGAUAUCUCGGCUCUCGCAUCGAUGAAGAACGUAGCGAAAUGCGAUACUUGGUGUGAAUUGCAGAAUCCCGUGAACCAUCGAGUCUUUGAACGCAAGUUGCGCCCGAAGCCGUUAGGCGGAGGGCACGUCUGCCUGGGCGUCACGC